This 386-nucleotide transfer-messenger RNA is filed under the name Helicobacter pylori. RNAcentral's name for it is "Standard tmRNA". It matches the Rfam family "transfer-messenger RNA". Rfam says of the family: Bacterial tmRNA, also known as 10Sa RNA or SsrA, is named for its dual tRNA and mRNA-like properties. Its role is to liberate the mRNA from a stalled ribosome. Lineage: Bacteria; Pseudomonadati; Campylobacterota; Epsilonproteobacteria; Campylobacterales; Helicobacteraceae. The record is from RNAcentral.
GGGGCUGACUUGGAUUUCGACAGAUUUCUUGUCGCACAGAUAGCAUGCCAAGCGCUGCUUGUAAAACAGCAACAAAAAUAACUGUAAACAACGCAGAUUACGCUCCAGCUUACGCUAAAGCUGCGUGAGUUAAUCUCCUUUUGGAGCUGGACUGAUUAGAAUUUCUAGCGUUUUAAUCACUCCAUAACCUUAAGCUAGACGCUUUUAAAAGGUGGUUCGCCUUUUAAACUAAGAAACAAGAACUCUUGAAACUAUCUCAAGGUUUUAGAAAGUUGGACCAGAGCUAGUUUUAAGGCUAAAAAGCUAACCAAUUUUCUAAGCAUUGUAGAAGUUUGUGUUUAGGGCAAGAUUUUUGGACUGGGGUUCGAUUCCCCACAGCUCCACCA